GGAGAGGUGGCCGAGUUGGUUGAAGGCGCUCGCCUGCUAAGUGAGUAUUCCGGGAAACUGGGAUCCAGGGUUCGAAUCCCUGUCUCUCCG
RNAcentral lists this transfer RNA (90 nucleotides) under Bacteroidota bacterium. RNAcentral's name for it is "Bacteroidetes bacterium (marine metagenome) tRNA-Ser". It matches the Rfam family "tRNA". From Rfam's summary of the family: Transfer RNA (tRNA) molecules are approximately 80 nucleotides in length. RNAcentral also lists the same sequence under 1 other name. Lineage: Bacteria; Pseudomonadati; Bacteroidota. The record is from RNAcentral.